Molecule: ribosomal RNA, 401 nt
Filed under: Meridolum sp. 'ianthostoma'
Lineage: Eukaryota; Metazoa; Mollusca; Gastropoda; Stylommatophora; Camaenidae
Description: partial 16S ribosomal RNA
Rfam family: Archaeal large subunit ribosomal RNA
Source: RNAcentral
CAAAAACAUAGCUAUGUGUUGUUACCCAUAGUACUUUCUGCUCGAUGAGAUUUAAAUGGCCGCAGUACCCUGACUGUGCAAAGGUAGCGCAAUCAAUUGUCUUCUAAUUAAAGUCUUGUAUCAACGAAUAUAUGGGGGCCCACUAUACCAGCAAUAUAUAAUGAACUUACUAAGAGGGUGAAAAUACCCCCAUGUUUUAAUAGACGAGAAGACCCUAGAAAUUUUUAACUUCGCCGUUUUUGUUGGGGCAACAUGGUAACAUAAAACUUACCAUAUGGGCAAGCCAUUUGUUUGAUAGAUCAAAUUACUCUAGGGAUAACAGCAUAAUGUAUAAUCGUUUGUGACCUCGAUGUUGGAUUAGGAAGUCGUAGUUUAAAAGGUGUUCGACAACGCUCUGUUCG